UGUGUGUCUGGUCACUGUGAUUUUAAUACA
This 30-nucleotide non-coding RNA is filed under the name Homo sapiens (human). Lineage: Eukaryota; Metazoa; Chordata; Mammalia; Primates; Hominidae. The record is from RNAcentral.